GUGAGCGCUGGCGGUAGGCCUAACACAUGCAAGUCGAACGGCAGCACCGUAAGAGCUUGCUCUUACGGGUGGCGAGUGGCGGACGGGUGAGGAAUACAUCGGAAUCUACUUUUUCGUGGGGGAUAACGUAGGGAAACUUACGCUAAUACCGCAUACGACCUACGGGUGAAAGCAGGGGAUCUUCGGACCUUGCGCGAUUGAAUGAGCCGAUGUCGGAUUAGCUAGUUGGCGGGGUAAAGGCCCACCAAGGCGACGAUCCGUAGCUGGUCUGAGAGGAUGAUCAGCCACACUGGAACUGAGACACGGUCCAGACUCCUACGGGAGGCAGCAGUGGGGAAUAUUGGACAAUGGGCGCAAGCCUGAUCCAGCCAUACCGCGUGGGUGAAGAAGGCCUUCGGGUUGGAAAGCCCUUUUGUUGGGAAAGAAAAGCAGCAGGUUAAUACCCCGCUGUUCUGACGGUACCCAAAGAAUAAGCACCGGCUAACUUCG
This 489-nucleotide ribosomal RNA is filed under the name uncultured bacterium. RNAcentral's name for it is "partial 16S ribosomal RNA". It matches the Rfam family "Bacterial small subunit ribosomal RNA", at positions 29 to 505 of the family's 1533-position model. The record is from RNAcentral.